RNAcentral lists this ribosomal RNA (277 nucleotides) under Bacillus mycoides. Its description in RNAcentral is "partial 16S rRNA". It matches the Rfam family "Bacterial small subunit ribosomal RNA", at positions 69 to 334 of the family's 1533-position model. The record is from RNAcentral. Lineage: Bacteria; Bacillati; Bacillota; Bacilli; Caryophanales; Bacillaceae.
AAUGGAUUAAGAGCUUGCUCUUAUGAAGUUAGCGGCGGACGGGUGAGUAACACGUGGGUAACCUACCCAUAAGACUGGGAUAACUCCGGGAAACCGGGGCUAAUACCGGAUAAUAUUUUGAACUGCAUAGUUCGAAAUUGAAAGGCGGCUUCGGCUGUCACUUAUGGAUGGACCCGCGUCGCAUUAGCUAGUUGGUGAGGUAACGGCUCACCAAGGCGACGAUGCGUAGCCGACCUGAGAGGGUGAUCGGCCACACUGGGACUGAGACACGGCCCAG